Electrophorus electricus (electric eel) is the source of this 882-nucleotide long non-coding RNA. RefSeq lists it as uncharacterized. The record is from RefSeq and is a predicted model, not a curated record. Lineage: Eukaryota; Metazoa; Chordata; Actinopteri; Gymnotiformes; Gymnotidae.
GUAAAACUGGGGGGGAAAAACUGUUUCCUGUUUCUUUUAGACGCUUCAGCGAAAUGUGAGGUUUCAUUUAACAUAUUUUCUGUUGUUAACGCCAACAUUAUAUUAUAUUUCAGAGAACAGACAUCUCAGAAGAUGGCUUAUUUGACAAGCAACUCUGUUGACAAAGAGAGGUUCUUGUGUAUAUACCCAGCCUACAUCAACAGUAAAAAGACAUUAGCAGAGGGCCGAAGAAUACCAACUGAGAAGAACAAGAUGUAUCCACGGGAAUGGAACAGAGACGGACAGUUCAGAGGAAGCGUGUGAGUUCAAGUCAAAAAAGACGAUGGAAGCUUGUGUCAAGACAAGUUUACCUCUAAAAAAGACAUUGUUUUACGUGGCCGAGAUUAUUCCCAAAUUGAAGACGAGAACACAGAAAAGUGGAGGUGGUGACUCAGGAGCACAGCCAGGAGAAGGACGAAAGAAAGGGAAGAAGAAGAAAUGAUUGCUUUUCCUCAUUCCAUUACAUCUCUCACAAAGCUUUUGUAUGUAUAUCGCUCAUGUCUGGUCAAUGCAAAAACAGGAGGUGAACGUUUUGCCAGAGUUUACUCUGUUUAUAUUAAUAUUGUGACUGUUUAUCAAACAUAUAAUAAAGUCAGAAACAAGAAGACACAUUUUCAGGCCUUUCUGCUGUGACUUUCCUUUAGGACAUUAAUAUUAACAUUAUUUUUCCAGAAUAUAUGGGCUGAGAACUUGUUGAAAAUCUGGGUUUUUGUUACCAUAGAACAUGCUUUGUUGUGAAUAUUUAAAAGAGAAUUUUUACAAUAUGUUCAACAACACAGAAUACUGAAAUAUUUAAUCCAUGUUUAAUUAUAUAUUUUUAAUAAAGAAUGAAAUGCAUAGAAA